This 135-nucleotide ribosomal RNA is filed under the name uncultured bacterium. RNAcentral's name for it is "partial 16S ribosomal RNA". It matches the Rfam family "Bacterial small subunit ribosomal RNA", at positions 355 to 507 of the family's 1533-position model. The record is from RNAcentral.
CAGGGAAUCUUGCGCAAUGGGCGAAAGCCUGACGCAGCGACGCCGCGUGAGGGAAGAAGGCCUGCGGGUCGUAAACCUCUUUUCUCGGGGAAGAUAGUGACGGUACCCGAGGAAUAAGCCUCGGCUAACUACGUG